CGGUUUCGAGGAGCGCUGCGACGGUUCACCCGCCAGGCUCGAUUCCGGCGAUGUUUCAACGGCGCUCGUUGACG
Non-coding RNA from Thiobacillus sp. SCN 65-179, 74 nucleotides. The record is from Rfam. Lineage: Bacteria; Pseudomonadati; Pseudomonadota; Betaproteobacteria; Nitrosomonadales; Thiobacillaceae.